UACGAGGGGUGCAAGCGUUGCUCGGAUUUAUUGGGCGUAAAGGGUGGGUAGGUGGUCUCGUUUGUCAGAGGUGAAAUCCCUGGGCUUAACCUAGGAAGUGCCUCUGAAACGGCGAGACUUGAGUACUGGAGAGGAUUGCGGAAUACCCGGUGUAGCGGUGAAAUGCGUAGAGAUCGGGUGGAACACCAGCGGCGAAGGCGGCAAUCUGGAAAGUUACUGACACUCAACCACGAAAGCGUGGGGAUCAAACAGG
This 253-nucleotide ribosomal RNA is filed under the name uncultured bacterium. RNAcentral describes it as "partial 16S ribosomal RNA". It matches the Rfam family "Bacterial small subunit ribosomal RNA", at positions 524 to 776 of the family's 1533-position model. The record is from RNAcentral.